Pelobates cultripes (western spadefoot toad) is the source of this 159-nucleotide non-coding RNA. NCBI's taxonomy places the organism in Eukaryota, Metazoa, Chordata, Amphibia, Anura, Pelobatidae. The record is from the annotation of a GenBank genome assembly.
GCUGACACAUCCCUGCCAAUCUCCGGCAGACCCUCCCUCCCAGACCCUCCCACCUCCUGGACAGCAUCCAUGUUGAAGCUGCCUUCAACAUGGAUGCUGUCCAGGAGGUGGGAGGGUCUAGGAGGGAGGGUCUGCUGGAGAUUGGCAGGGAUGUGUCAG